CAAGACGUAGCUACAACUCUAAAGCAUUCAGCUUACACCUGAAAGAUAUCUGCCUGACCAGAUCGCCUUGAA
Molecule: transfer RNA, 72 nt
Filed under: Galbula albirostris
Lineage: Eukaryota; Metazoa; Chordata; Aves; Piciformes; Galbulidae
Description: tRNA-Val
Source: RNAcentral